This 640-nucleotide long non-coding RNA is filed under the name Jatropha curcas. RNAcentral's name for it is "long non-coding RNA (JCUR_LNC000590)". The record is from RNAcentral. Lineage: Eukaryota; Viridiplantae; Streptophyta; Magnoliopsida; Malpighiales; Euphorbiaceae.
UCAGUAAAGCGGAUAGUAACCAAAACUAAUAAUUAAGGUAAAAGUACGUUUCUUGAAUUAGACUUCUAAUGUAGAGUUUUCUUAUUAUGUUAGAUGUUUAUAAGUUCCGAAAGGUGGAGACAAAUGCUGGAAGCGUGCAGUAAUAAAGAUAGUCCUUUAAAGGACAAUAAAGAACUGUGAGUAGUGUUAGAUAAUUCGCCUCAUCCACCUGCAUUCAUGCAUUCACGGCUAAAUGUUAUCAUGCAUUAUUUUGUUGGAUUGCCGUAUUAUGAUGCACUAUUUGUUGAUAUUUAAAAUUGUUUGAUUACUUGUGCUAUGAAUAUACUGUGCCAUAUUUGUGUGGAAUUGGGAUGAAGUGGACCACCAUGGGUUUGUGAGGACGGUCUAUGUGAUAUGGAUCCUGAAUAUGAUGUGAUAUGGAUCCUGAAUAUGAUGUGAUAUGGAAUUUGACCGUUGGCCGGGAAAAUGGGAGAUCGGCGCCCCCGUGUGCACCUGAUGAGAUGGAUUAUAUAGAACCACAGGAUGGCCUCUUGUUGUUGCGCACCGGACAGUCUAGAUUUGAUCGCAGCCCGCAGGUGGCCUCCUGUUGUGAGCGCUUGAUGAUCUAGAUUGGAUGGAGACCACCGGGUUGCCUCCUGUU